GUUACUUUAUUGUCUAAGACAUAUUGGAAUAAAAUUUUGAUAUUUUUAAAGUAAAAUCAUCACAAAAAUCUAUACAUCUUUUGUUUAUAUAUUUCUGUAAAGACGGUAAUUAAAAUCUUUUAUAUUAUUUUACUGUUAAAUCUAGGUCGUUAACUAAGUAUUAAUCUAUGAGUUAGGUGUUAUAUUUUACUAAAAUAAUUUCAUNUUUUUUCCUUGUUCAGGUUAAGGAGGAAUAAAAUGCAAACAAUUUUGUACUAAAUACAGGUUUGAACUCGGGAUCCCUCCUAGAACAAUAAUAAGCAUGUAUAACCAUUUGGUCACGAGAAAAUAAAUUUAAGUUCAAAUACUAAAUGAAUAAACAUCGGUUUUACACAUUUCUUAAACAAUAUCACAUUUCAGUAUUUUACCUAUAAAUAUAAAUAAAAUAUACAUACACAAUUAAUGGUUUUAUAAUUAAGUCAGUACCUGUACAAUAUGAUUAAUAUGAGUAAUUAUAUAAUAAUAAUUGGCUACUUAGUGACUAAGUGACUAAUGCACUACAACAAUAUUACACUGUUAUUUUAUAGAGUAUCAAUGUAUUACAAAUUAUCAACAAUCGGCAAAUGAAUCAAUUAUUCUGAUCAGCCCACCGGGUUUUCAUCAGUACAUUGACGGCUUAGUCCGUCCUUGGAACUAUCAUACGGGUUCUUAUACAUUCUAUUAAAAAUAUAUCUUAGUUCGUGCUUUUAAAAUGUCUUCUCCGCGAUGAUGAUUGUUUAAUGUCGACGUGUUUGAAAAUAUCGGUUAAAUCAUUACAGAUAGUUUCAUAGUUGACAGUUGGAGUAGAAUAUGAACUAUUUUGUUUUAUCACUUUAGCUGAAUUAUAUACAAUAAAAAAAAAUUUGAGUAAAAAAUCUUUAGCUGCCAAACAAUUUUUUUUCAAAGUUUCACUAAAACUUUCAGCCCAUAUUGAAGAAAAUAGUUCUAUUUUGAGUGCAUUAUAUAUUUUAGCGUAUGUAGGACUUGGUAUGUUGUUAAGAAUAUUAGAAGGACCAUCGUCUUGGUUGAAAUUUUUAAUAGCGGUGAUUAUAUUUAAUAAAUUUUCUCGAGUUUUACAUUCGACUGGUAAAUUUAAAAAUAGUUUAUAUCGAGAUUUUUCGUACCAUGCAAGAGAGUUUCUCAACUUUGGUAUGUUUCUGUUUUUAUCCCUUCCGUAGACCGUUC
Non-coding RNA from Cinara cedri, 1203 nucleotides. Lineage: Eukaryota; Metazoa; Arthropoda; Insecta; Hemiptera; Aphididae. The record is from the annotation of a GenBank genome assembly.